UAUAAAACAUUACAAAACAUAAACGGCAAGCGGACAUGAUGAUAGUUUCUACGGGGCGUAGGUCUAACGGAGGCGUGCAAAGAUUUCCUCAGACCGGACUGAGAUCGGCCCUCGAGUGCAAAGGCAGAAAGGAGCUUGACUGCAAGACCAUCCAUCGAGCAGGGAAGAAAGUCGGCCUUAGUGAUCCGACGGCACCGAAUGAAAGAGCAGUCACUCAACGAAUAAAAUUUACUCUA
RNAcentral lists this non-coding RNA (236 nucleotides) under Daucus carota subsp. sativus. RNAcentral's name for it is "Bacterial large subunit ribosomal RNA". It matches the Rfam family "Bacterial large subunit ribosomal RNA", at positions 2221 to 2468 of the family's 2925-position model. The record is from Rfam by way of RNAcentral. Lineage: Eukaryota; Viridiplantae; Streptophyta; Magnoliopsida; Apiales; Apiaceae.